RNAcentral lists this long non-coding RNA (680 nucleotides) under Ixodes scapularis (black-legged tick). RNAcentral describes it as "uncharacterized LOC121834390, transcript variant X2". Lineage: Eukaryota; Metazoa; Arthropoda; Arachnida; Ixodida; Ixodidae. The record is from RNAcentral.
UGGCCCGCUAAUUGCUCGUUUGUUCUUUUGUCUUUCUCUUUGUUUCUUUCUCUCUCCUCCUCGCUCAUCCUCCUCCGCUUUCCUUUGUUCCGAGAGGCCGGCCCCAGUGUGGUUUCGGUUGUGCUUCGGAGCAGUCGCGUAGUCACCCGUGUCCAGCUCCUGCUUUGUUCUUUGUUCCGAAAUCGGUCUUCUUCUUCUUCGGACCCCGAACGUCGCCUCACGGUUCCUGCGUUCGUCAAAGGGCCUCCUUUCGUUCGACACAUUGGGGUCACGUGAUGUUUUUGUCGGAGCAAGGAUGAGUCACCCUCGCCUCAACGGCGCCUGGCUGUUGCUGUGCGUGUUCUGUCUGGGCCCGGGCUCACUUUCAGAAGGAGCCGAGAACGGAAGAAGGUCGGAUUACCGUAACUCGAGAAGCGCAAGAGCGAGUUGCACGGCUGGCCCUCCGUUUCAAGUGACCUCCUUCAGCUGCGGAUGACCUGUGCUUAAUCAAGACCGCUUGAAUGGCAACUGAGAACUUGCUCCAAGCAAAAAGUGUUUUUAUGAAAUCGUGUUAGCUCGUGCGAAUUCACUGAAUAGGAACAAGUGUGCUUUCAUCGAGACAGCUCGUCCGGAAACUUGCAUUGUCGGCCUAAUAAAGUUUGACGUCAAGCCUAAUAAAACGUGAGGUUAAAACGGAGAAA